This is an RNA transcript of Medicago truncatula (barrel medic), 1418 nucleotides long. RefSeq lists it as uncharacterized. The record is from RefSeq and is a predicted model, not a curated record. Lineage: Eukaryota; Viridiplantae; Streptophyta; Magnoliopsida; Fabales; Fabaceae. The transcript has 3 exons.
UCAAAGGAUGAGGGGUUCGAAGGUCGAGUUAAGGAGUUCAAAUAAAAAAAGAAGCAAUUCGAAAACCAAGUUGAGGACUUCAAAUCAAAAGAGAAGCAACUUGAAAGCCAAGUCGAGGAAUACAAAUCAAAAGAGAAUCAAAUUGAAGAAAGGUGGAAAGAACUCGAGUCAAAAGAGAAUAAGUUCAAAGUACUGGUCAAAGAGCUCAAGUUAAAAGAAGGAAAAAUCAAGGAUCCUGGUUCAAAGCUGGAUAAAUUUGAUGGACAAUUGAAGGAGUCUGAGUUGACAGAGAAACAAUUUGAAUCAUUAAUAAACUAUUUUGAUGAGGAAAAAGCAUCGGUUGCAUCUAGCACGGAUGAUCGAUUAAGUCCAACCAUUGAUGGAACAAGUUUGCAGUUGCUCCCAAGUGAUGAACUGAGAUUCUAGUCAAUCUGCAAGAAUCUGUUAGACCUCUCAUAAAGAAAUAUUAUUCAAGGAAUAGAAACAGAAACAGAAACUGACUUGGCAGUUUCUGUGUCUGUUAUGGACAGUUACAAGUUUCUGUGCAGUAGUUAUUAUUUAACAGUUAUUGUGUGCAGUUAUUUUCUAGAAUGUGUAUUCUGUUAUAUAAAUAAAGAAUAGUCAGACUUAAUAGUUAUCUUAGAAUUAUUGUGUGGUUCAUUGGAAAAGGAGAGACACAAGGCUCUCGGAACCUUGUGAGUGUGUACUGUGAAUAUUUCUGUGUAAUUUCAAUUCAUUACAAGUGUGUGAUUGUAUAUUUAUCUCUGAUUAGGAAACCUUUCCCCAGAGAAUAUUCAAUAAUAAACAAUAAUAUUCAGUUGUUUAUCCUAUUGGUACCAGUUUCUAUCAGAAUCAUCAGAUCCAACAAAAGUUGUUUUGGAUAUAAUACAAAACCCAAUUAUUCCACGAUGUAACGAGGGAGACCAUGCUGUUAUUGAUGGUAGCAGUGUCUUUCUGCUAGAACAACUGAUGAGAAUCUCACCGAAGAUUAAACCUGGUGUAAGAGAAGAAACAUUGAAGCUAGCACUUGAUUUGAAAGCUAACAUGAAAAGUACUGAAAAUUCUCUGGUGGUUCUUGGUUUUCUACUGCUUUUGUCAGUUUAUGAAUUGCUUACUUAUUUUGAUGAAGAUGAAGUCUUGGAGCUUUUCGCAUUUGUUGCUCAGCACAAGACAGCCGUGGAACUGUUUCAGACCCUGGGUUUUGCAAAUAAACUUUCAGAAUUUUUUGAGGAUCUUAUCAGGAAGAAACAAUUUGUUGUGCUUACUGCUUGGCUGAGAAGAAUCAAAAAGUUUUUGUUCUAGAAAAACCUAAUGUAAAUAAAUGUGGUAAUGGUACUUCCUGCUAUUUAUUACAGAGUAACAACAUGGCUCACUACAUAUGUCGUUUAGUUGCUUUAAGAAUGCCUCUAAGUUUAUGU